GCCUUUGAGUGAUAAUGAAUUGUUGCUCGCUAUCCUUAUUGGUCUAGAUCAAGAAUAUGACACGGUUGUGAGUUUGAUUACAUAUCAAAU
This is a small nucleolar RNA of Diospyros lotus (date-plum), 90 nucleotides long. RefSeq annotates it as small nucleolar RNA Z247. Lineage: Eukaryota; Viridiplantae; Streptophyta; Magnoliopsida; Ericales; Ebenaceae. The record is from RefSeq and is a predicted model, not a curated record. The transcript has a single exon.